RNAcentral lists this ribosomal RNA (492 nucleotides) under uncultured bacterium. RNAcentral describes it as "partial 16S ribosomal RNA". It matches the Rfam family "Bacterial small subunit ribosomal RNA", at positions 29 to 507 of the family's 1533-position model. The record is from RNAcentral.
AGUGAACGCUGGCGGUAGGCCUAACACAUGCAAGUCGAACGGCAGCACAGUAAGAGCUUGCUCUUACGGGUGGCGAGUGGCGGACGGGUGAGGAAUACAUCGGAAUCUACUUUUUCGUGGGGGAUAACGUAGGGAAACUUACGCUAAUACCGCAUACGACCUACGGGUGAAAGCAGGGGAUCUUCGGACCUUGCGCGAUUGAAUGAGCCGAUGUCGGAUUAGCUAGUUGGCGGGGUAAAGGCCCACCAAGGCGACGAUCCGUAGCUGGUCUGAGAGGAUGAUCAGCCACACUGGAACUGAGACACGGUCCAGGCUCCUACGGGAGGCAGCAGUGGGGAAUAUUGGACAAUGGGCGCAAGCCUGAUCCAGCCAUACCGCGUGAGUGAAGAAGGCCUUCGGGUUGUAAAGCCCUGUUGUUGGGAAAGAAAAGCAGCAGGUUAAUACCCCGCUGUUCUGACGGUACCCAAAGAAUAAGCACCGGCUAACUUCGUG